This 494-nucleotide ribosomal RNA is filed under the name uncultured bacterium. RNAcentral's name for it is "partial 16S ribosomal RNA". It matches the Rfam family "Bacterial small subunit ribosomal RNA", at positions 28 to 507 of the family's 1533-position model. The record is from RNAcentral.
GACGAACGCUGGCGGCGUGCUUAACACAUGCAAGUCGAACGGAAAGGCCUGCUUUCUCUUGUGGAUUGCGGGUACUCGAGUGGCGAACGGGUGAGUAACACGUGAGUGAUCUGCCCCCAACUUGGGUAUAAGCCUGGGAAACUGGGUCUAAUUCCCGAUAGGACUGCAGGGUGGUGUCUGUGGUGGAAAACGAUUUUCUAGUGGUUGGGGAUGAGCUCGCGGCCUAUCAGCUUGUUGGUGGGGUAAUGGCCUACCAAGGCGGCGACGGGUAGCCGGCCUGGGAGGGUCGACGGUGACAUUGGGACUGGGUUACGGCCCAUACGCCUGCGGGAAGCAGGAGUGGGGAAGAAAGCGCAAUAGGCGGAAGCCAGAUGCAGCGAGGCCGCGUUGGGGAUGUCGGCCUCGGGGUUGUAAGCUCCUUUCGACCGCGAGGUAGCCACCUGGUUGUAAGGGUGGUGACGGUAGUGGUAGAAGAAGCACCGGCUAACUACGUG